This 208-nucleotide ribosomal RNA is filed under the name Staphylococcus aureus. RNAcentral's name for it is "partial 23S ribosomal RNA". It matches the Rfam family "Bacterial large subunit ribosomal RNA", at positions 2715 to 2925 of the family's 2925-position model. The record is from RNAcentral. Lineage: Bacteria; Bacillati; Bacillota; Bacilli; Caryophanales; Staphylococcaceae.
UACCAGUUGUCGUGCCAACGGCAUAGCUGGGUAGCUAUGUGUGGACGGGAUAAGUGCUGAAAGCAUCUAAGCAUGAAGCCCCCCUCAAGAUGAGAUUUCCCAACUUCGGUUAUAAGAUCCCUCAAAGAUGAUGAGGUUAAUAGGUUCGAGGUGGAAGCAUGGUGACAUGUGGAGCUGACGAAUACUAAUCGAUCGAAGACUUAAUCAA